CCUACGGGGAGCUGCAGUGGGGAAUAUUGGACAAUGGGCGAAAGCCUGAUCCAGCCAUGCCGCGUGUGUGAAGAAGGCCUUCGGGUUGUAAAGCACUUUCAGUGGGGAAGAAAGCCUUUGGGCUAAUACCCUCGAGGAAGGACAUCACCCACAGAAGAAGCACCGGCUAACUCCGUGCCAGCAGCCGCGGUAAUACGGAGGGUGCGAGCGUUAAUCGGAAUUACUGGGCGUAAAGCGCGCGUAGGCGGUCUGAUAAGCCGGUUGUGAAAGCCCCGGGCUCAACCUGGGAACGGCAUCCGGAACUGUCAAGCUAGAGUGCAGGAGAGGAAGGUAGAAUUCCCGGUGUAGCGGUGAAAUGCGUAGAGAUCGGGAGGAAUACCAGUGGCGAAGGCGGCCUUCUGGACUGAAACUGACGCUGAGGUGCGAAAGCGUGGGUAGCAAACAGGAUUAGAUACCCCGGUAGUC
Molecule: ribosomal RNA, 465 nt
Filed under: Vreelandella stevensii
Lineage: Bacteria; Pseudomonadati; Pseudomonadota; Gammaproteobacteria; Oceanospirillales; Halomonadaceae
Description: partial 16S ribosomal RNA
Rfam family: Bacterial small subunit ribosomal RNA
Source: RNAcentral